This 1372-nucleotide ribosomal RNA is filed under the name uncultured bacterium. Its description in RNAcentral is "bacterial SSU rRNA". It matches the Rfam family "Bacterial small subunit ribosomal RNA", at positions 28 to 1381 of the family's 1533-position model. The record is from RNAcentral.
GAUGAACGCUGGCGGCGUGCCUAAUACAUGCAAGUCGAGCGAACGGACGAGAAGCUUGCUUUUCUGAUGUUAGCGGCGGACGGGUGAGUAACACGUGGAUAACCUACCUAUAAGACUGGGAUAACUUCGGGAAACCGGAGCUAAUACCGGAUAAUAUUUUGAACCGCAUGGUUCAAAAGUGAAAGACGGUCUUGCUGUCACUUAUAGAUGGAUCCGCGCUGCAUUAGCUAGUUGGUAAGGUAACGGCUUACCAAGGCAACGAUGCAUAGCCGACCUGAGAGGGUGAUCGGCCACACUGGAACUGAGACACGGUCCAGACUCCUACGGGAGGCAGCAGUAGGGAAUCUUCCGCAAUGGGCGAAAGCCUGACGGAGCAACGCCGCGUGAGUGAUGAAGGUCUUCGGAUCGUAAAACUCUGUUAUUAGGGAAGAACAUAUGUGUAAGUAACUGUGCACAUCUUGACGGUACCUAAUCAGAAAGCCACGGCUAACUACGUGCCAGCAGCCGCGGUAAUACGUAGGUGGCAAGCGUUAUCCGGAAUUAUUGGGCGUAAAGCGCGCGUAGGCGGUUUUUUAAGUCUGAUGUGAAAGCCCACGGCUCAAUCGUGGAGGGUCAUUGGAAACUGGAAAACUUGAGUGCAGAAGAGGAAAGUGGAAUUCCAUGUGUAGCGGUGAAAUGCGCAGAGAUAUGGAGGAACACCAGUGGCGAAGGCGACUUUCUGGUCUGUAACUGACGCUGAUGUGCGAAAGCGUGGGGAUCAAACAGGAUUAGAUACCCUGGUAGUCCACGCCGUAAACGAUGAGUGCUAAGUGUUAGGGGGUUUCCGCCCCUUAGUGCUGCAGCUAACGCAUUAAGCACUCCGCCUGGGGAGUACGACCGCAAGGUUGAAACUCAAAGGAAUUGACGGGGACCCGCACAAGCGGUGGAGCAUGUGGUUUAAUUCGAAGCAACGCGAAGAACCUUACCAAAUCUUGACAUCCUUUGACAACUCUAGAGAUAGAGCCUUCCCCUUCGGGGGACAAAGUGACAGGUGGUGCAUGGUUGUCGUCAGCUCGUGUCGUGAGAUGUUGGGUUAAGUCCCGCAACGAGCGCAACCCUUAAGCUUAGCUGCCAUCAUUAAGUUGGGCACUCUAAGUUGACUGCCGGUGACAAACCGGAGGAAGGUGGGGAUGACGUCAAAUCAUCAUGCCCCUUAUGAUUUGGGCUACACACGUGCUACAAUGGACAAUACAAAGGGCAGCGAAACCGCGAGGUCAAGCAAAUCCCAUAAAGUUGUUCUCAGUUCGGAUUGUAGUCUGCAACUCGACUACAUGAAGCUGGAAUCGCUAGUAAUCGUAGAUCAGCAUGCUACGGUGAAUACGUUCCCGGGUCU